CAGUAGCCGCGGUAAUACAGAGGGUGCGAGCGUUAAUCGGAUUUACUGGGCGUAAAGCGUGCGUAGGCGGCUUCUUAAGUCGGAUGUGAAAUCCCUGAGCUUAACUUAGGAAUUGCAUUCGAUACUGGGAAGCUAGAGUAUGGGAGAGGAUGGUAGAAUUCCAGGUGUAGCGGUGAAAUGCGUAGAGAUCUGGAGGAAUACCGAUGGCGAAGGCAGCCAUCUGGCCUAAUACUGACGCUGAGGUACGAAAGCAUGGGGAGCAAACAGGAUUAGAGACCCCAGUAGUCCCUGUCUCUUAUAC
RNAcentral lists this ribosomal RNA (301 nucleotides) under uncultured bacterium. RNAcentral describes it as "partial 16S ribosomal RNA". It matches the Rfam family "Bacterial small subunit ribosomal RNA", at positions 509 to 807 of the family's 1533-position model. The record is from RNAcentral.